This 434-nucleotide ribosomal RNA is filed under the name uncultured bacterium. RNAcentral describes it as "partial 16S ribosomal RNA". It matches the Rfam family "Bacterial small subunit ribosomal RNA", at positions 341 to 792 of the family's 1533-position model. The record is from RNAcentral.
ACGGGAGGCAGCAGUGGGGAAUAUUGGGCAAUGGGCGAAAGCCUGACCCAGCAACGCCGCGUGAAGGAAGAAGGUCUUCGGGUCGUAAACUUCUAUCCUUGGUGAGAAUAGUGAUGGUAGCCAAGAAGGAAGCCCCGGCUAACUACGUGCCAGCAGCCGCGGUAAUACGUAGGGGGCAAGCGUUGUCCGGAAUGAUUGGGCGUAAAGGGCGCGUAGGCGGCCUGGUAAGUCUGGAGUGAAACCCCCGCUUUUAAGGCGGGACCUGCUUUGGAUACUGCUGGGCUUGAGUGCAGGAGAGGUAAGCGGAAUUCCCGGUGUAGCGGUGAAAUGCGUAGAGAUCGGGAGGAACACCAGUAGCGAAGGCGGCUUACUGGACUGUUACUGACGCUGAGGCGCGAAAGUGUGGGGAGCAAACAGGAUUAGAUACCCUGGUA